Long non-coding RNA from Oreochromis aureus, 337 nucleotides. RefSeq lists it as uncharacterized. Lineage: Eukaryota; Metazoa; Chordata; Actinopteri; Cichliformes; Cichlidae. The record is from RefSeq and is a predicted model, not a curated record. The transcript is spliced from 3 exons.
GUUUAUCUUCAAGAGCUCUGCACCUGGGUUCACUCUUAUCAUCCACCGUGACAAAAGAUACCACGGUUUCAUGUAACUUAUGAGAGGUUUAUAGAGAAGAGCACAGAGGAACAAUCAGAUUCAUGAAUGAUGGACACAGAAGACAAGACUCCAGGCCUGUUAAACUUUAUCGCUAAACUUGGACUGGAAAAAUUUUAUCCCAACAAGCUGACUCUGCAACUUCUAUUAGAAAUCAACAAAAGCAACACACAUAAUCACACUGUUCAAACAGUGAAAGAUAUACCAUGGUGCUUCUUUGGAAGAUUGUUUAAAAUCAAUGCAGAGUGCAGGGACUGCA